UACAGAGGUGGCAAGCGUUGUUCGGAAUUACUGGGCGUAAAGGGCGCGUAGGCGGCCUUCUAAGUCAGACGUGAAAUCCCCCGGCUUAACCUGGGAACUGCGUCUGAUACUGGGAGGCUUGAGUAUGGGAGAGGGAUGUAGAAUUCCAGGUGUAGCGGUGAAAUGCGUAGAUAUCUGGAGGAAUACCGGUGGCGAAGGCGGCGUCCUGGACCAACACUGACACUGAGGAGCGAAAGCCAGGGGAGCAAACGGG
This 253-nucleotide ribosomal RNA is filed under the name uncultured bacterium. Its description in RNAcentral is "partial 16S ribosomal RNA". It matches the Rfam family "Bacterial small subunit ribosomal RNA", at positions 524 to 776 of the family's 1533-position model. The record is from RNAcentral.